This 327-nucleotide long non-coding RNA is filed under the name Dermacentor andersoni. Its description in RNAcentral is "uncharacterized LOC126537842". Lineage: Eukaryota; Metazoa; Arthropoda; Arachnida; Ixodida; Ixodidae. The record is from RNAcentral.
CCACUUCAGUACGCUGCUACGUAGUUUCGAAUGCCAUUCUCUUCCCCAUCUGUUUUGCGGCAAGGUGUACCCCAUUGAUAACCAGCAAAGUAAUAGUGUUCGAUAAUGACAUACACCAUCGCCUUUGUCUAAACUCAGUUAAGGAAACAUAGUUUACCACUCAUCAUGAAAUCAAUUCUCUUGUCUCUCGCAUACCUUGCAUCAAGCGUUUUUCCAAAUGCAGUGGUUGGACAAAGCGCAACAUCUCUGCCUGCACCUGUGGCACAAAUACCCCCCACCUGCAGGACAACCUUCUGCAGCAACUUCACCAACACCUGGAAUAGGAAU